RNAcentral lists this ribosomal RNA (81 nucleotides) under Clostridiales bacterium. RNAcentral's name for it is "partial 16S ribosomal RNA". It matches the Rfam family "Bacterial small subunit ribosomal RNA", at positions 1 to 81 of the family's 1533-position model. Lineage: Bacteria; Bacillati; Bacillota; Clostridia; Eubacteriales. The record is from RNAcentral.
UUUAUUUAGAGUUUGAUUCUGGCUCAGGACGAACGCUGGCGGCGUGCUUAACACAUGCAAGUCGAGCGGAAUAUGAGAGCU